GCGUGCUGGUGCCCGAAGGGCGGGUGGUGAUCUUCGGCAUCAACCCUGCAAGCUGGUGGGGAAUGCAGUCGGCGUUCACGCCGCGCGGCACGCGCC
Molecule: transfer RNA, 96 nt
Filed under: compost metagenome
Description: tRNA-Arg
Source: RNAcentral